This 539-nucleotide ribosomal RNA is filed under the name uncultured bacterium. Its description in RNAcentral is "bacterial SSU rRNA". It matches the Rfam family "Bacterial small subunit ribosomal RNA", at positions 284 to 820 of the family's 1533-position model. The record is from RNAcentral.
UAGGGGUUCUGAGAGGAAGGUCCCCCACAUUGGAACUGAGACACGGUCCAAACUCCUACGGGAGGCAGCAGUGAGGAAUAUUGGUCAAUGGUCGGCAGACUGAACCAGCCAAGUCGCGUGAGGGAAGACGGCCCUGCGGGUUGUAAACCUCUUUUGUCGGAGAGUAAAGUGCGCUACGCGUAGCGUAUUGCAAGUAUCCGAAGAAAAAGCAUCGGCUAACUCCGUGCCAGCAGCCGCGGUAAUACGGAGGAUGCAAGCGUUAUCCGGAUUUAUUGGGUUUAAAGGGUGCGUAGGCGGCACGCCAAGUCAGCGGUGAAAUUUCCGGGCUCAACCCGGAAUGUGCCGUUGAAACUGGCGAGCUAGAGUACACAAGAGGCAGGCGGAAUGCGUGGUGUAGCGGUGAAAUGCAUAGAUAUCACGCAGAACCCCGAUUGCGAAGGCAGCCUGCUAGGGUGAAACAGACGCUGAGGCACGAAAGCGUGGGUAUCGAACAGGAUUAGAUACCCUGGUAGUCCACGCAGUAAACGAUGAAUACUAAC